This is a long non-coding RNA of Geospiza fortis (medium ground-finch), 5559 nucleotides long. The record is from Ensembl. Lineage: Eukaryota; Metazoa; Chordata; Aves; Passeriformes; Thraupidae.
GACAGAAGUAGGAGUGCUGCGGUAAUCAGGACUGAUCAGACGAAUCAGGUUAGGAGGGUUAGAAGCCCUCACCAGGAGGCACAGAACAAACAAAAAAAACCCAACUUUGAACUUCCCAGAAAACGAGAGGAACCCUAAGCUGCCCUCCAGGACGAUGUCUCACUCCUCAACCAGCGGGCAGCGCAGCCUUGCAAGCACGAAAGGGUUAAACCGAGAGAGAAAGAGUUAAACGGAGAGAGAAAGAGUUAAAGCGAGGGAGAAAGAGUUAAACCGAGAGAGAAAGAGUUAAACCGAGAGAGAAAGAGUUAAAGCGAGCCUCGCACAAACUUUGCAGUGAGCUGAGCUCAGAGCGUCCCUCCCUUCGCUCGGAGCCGGAGCUCGGCUCAUCCCCUCCUGGUGCUGCCGAGGGAAGGAGGGAGGCAGGGAGGCUCUGUUUGCCUCCAUCCCAGAGAGCAGCUCAGCCAGAGCAGCUCCUCGGCCCUUGCCCUGCCCCUGCAGGGACCCAGGGGUGCUCUCCAUCAUCAGCUGUGCCCUCCUUCAUCAGCGGUGCCCAUCAUCAGCAGUGCCCUCCAUCCAUCAGCGGUGCCCAUCAUCAGCAGUGCCCUCCAUCCAUCAGCAGUGCCACCCUGCCCAGGUGGCAUCCCAAGGUCGGGAUUUCAGAGCCAUCCCUGCCUCGGAGAUCCACAGCAGAGGAGGAAAAGUGCACUGGGCUGAAGGGCGCUGUGCUGCCUCCAGGACAGCAGAGCCUUCCUGCACAGAUGCCACCGAGGAGAUGCUCCCGGGGACACCAGCAGCGAGCUCGUGGUGUGGAGCAGGGGCUCUGGAGCCUCAUCCCAGCCCUGCUGCCGGCUCUGAAAGAAAUCUGACUUUUUGACCGUUCCUAAUGAGAAACUCAGAACUCCAGACUCCUUAAGCCCUGAAUUAGGAGAGAAGAGAGAUCCCCCCAGACGUUUGGCAAAGCAGAAAACAACCUUCCCCAGCUCACCCAAGGAUAAACCACCUGCUGUGGGAGAGAGAAGCUGGCAGAAAGCUGAUUGCUCAGUCUGUCUGGAAAAACAACGCUUGCAAAGACCAAAGCUGUGCCAACCUUCACAGCUCAGCUUGAGAGAAGAACCAAAGCUUUUCACCAUCCAAAGGAGGUGACCUACCAAGAGGAGGCCCAAAGUAUUUAUAGGACAAAAUAAAAGCCAGAAGGAAGUGUAAAGCACAAGUGUGAUGCUCGUUGUCAUUGUGACAGCAAGGUGCAAAAUGGUCUGCGCAGGCUUGUCCCUCGCAGCGUGCUCAGCUGUGUGAGCAGCAGCCUCGACACACCUGCUGAAGCCAUCGUGCCAUCUGUGCUGAGCUUCCUCUCCUGACCUCCUCUGUGAGUCUGGUGAGGGGAGACAGGAGAUCUGAAGGUAAAUACAGAAAAUGGACCAAAGCUGACAGAGAGCAAUGACUGAGAUCUCUUUCAAGUUCCGCGGGAACCUGACUGGCCGCGUCCACCUUCCAACUCUGGCUACUGAAGUAGACACAACAGCAGACAAAUAUUCUGGCCUCUAUGUGUACGUGGGCUUGUUCCUAACCCUCCUGGCUCUCCUCCUGAUCCUGCUCUUCUCCAUGCUCCUGCGCCUGAAGCAUGUUGUGUCCCCCAUCACCUCCCCAGAGAGCACUGAGAACGUGCAGCACUUCACAGACGUGGAAAUGCACAGCAGGAUCCCCACCACAUAGGGAUCCCACAAAGAGGGCUCUGUGCUUGGGAAAGGUGUUUUUUGUUCAGCAAAGGUGGUGGAAAGAAGCUCUGGGUGCCUGUUGAGCCCCACAAGUUCUUGCAAAGCCUCAGCAGCAUCUGGAGGGUGUUGCUGGCUGUUGGCAUCACAGGCAGCAUGUGUGCAGCAGCCUCCACAAAAUGGACAUCACAGAAACCUGCUGCUGCCAGGGAAGGCUCACACCCCUCUAAAAACCUUGCAGAAAAUGGGAAAAGCCACAUUAAUGACAGCCAAAAACCCAGAGAAACAUAGCAGAAUGUGUCCUGGAGCCUGUGCUUGCUGACCUCUCUCUGAAUCAACAAAGCUGAAGUGGUGUAAGUGGGAAGAGCCCACAGGGCACACGCAGAAAUUGUGGGUGGCUUGAAAAAUCUCAGGCAUUUCUUCCAUUCAAGAAGGAAAACAUUAAAUUGUUCUCUUUCGCUUGAAUGGAUGUCUGCAGCAGCCUCCAUAAAAUGGACAUCACAGAAACUUGCUGCUGCCAGGGAAGGCUCACACCCCUCUAAAAACCUUGCAGAAAAUGGGAAAAGCCACAUUAAUGACAGCCAAAAACCCAGAGAAAUAUAGCAGAAUGUGUCCUGGGGCCUGUGUUUGCUGACCUCUCUCUCUGAAUCAACAAAGCUGAAGUGGUGCAAGUGGGAAGAGUCCAUGGGGCACACACAGAAAUUGUCAGUGGCUUGAAAAUUGUCAGUGGCUUGAAAAUUGUCAGGCAUUUUUCCCAUUCAAGAAGGAAAACAUUAAAUUGUUGUCUUUCACUUGAAUGGCAAUUAAACAAUGGAGUUUCACAAAUAUAGAAAUGUUUCAACACCUGCUGGAACUACAUCUUUCUGACAUUAGAACCCAUUUAAUGAAUAGUUGCACACCAGAUCUCAAAAAGAGACAGAACUUUAAAGAGGAAAGAGAAUAAAGCCAAAAUUGAAGCAAGGUUUAAAAAAAAAAGAAGCAGCAGCAGCAGGAAAUGAGAUUAAAAAACGUAUAAGACACUCUACCUCUUCCUUAGUCCUCCUUUAUAUGAACUGAGCUGAAUACAAACAUUUUUUGCUGUCAUGCUUUUAGGCUCAGUAAUUAAAAUGCAGUGUAAGUUUUGGGAGCCCAAUUGACAUUGCUCUCCUAACAGACUCCACUUCAUAAUAACAUGUUCUCUCAUAUCCAUAUUGGGUUUUCUUCCUCAAAAGACAGAAAAGUUCUUCCAAAGAUUUUUCAUUUGUUUUCCUCCAAAGAAAGCUGAGGAGAUGCCCAGGCCUGGCACUGCAAUAAGGAAUAGUGGGAACAGCUUUGGACACAGACUAACAGGGAGCACGCAGAUGGAAAAUAAACUCACUGAGCACUGAAAGAUAUGAUUGGAUUCAAAUACCCUGACGGAAUCUCACGGGGGAAAGCAAAGUUUAUUUGAAUUUAUGGAACAACAAUCUGACCCAGUCCUAUGAGUGACGUACAGAGGUAGCCUUUGCUGCUGUGGAUGGAAAAGAUGGAACCAAAUAUGGCAAAGCACUCCUGGGAGAGCCACUGCCUCUCACAGAAAAACCUUCAGUGAGUUGUUUCAGCCACAUCUCUAAAGGGCAGGUAUUUUACACAGCUUAUCCACUUUAUUACAGUCUAACUCUAGUUCAGCAAUAAAAUCCCCUGCAUGUUUUCCACACAAACAUACAUUCUUAUUUGCCAAUUCUCCUCUCUCCAAGGGCUUGGAAAGUGUAAAGUCCUCACACAAACCCAGUGAAAAUUUAGAGAAGACACUGUCACAUGGACCUGUGAUAGUAGCAUGAAAUUUUUCUUCAAAUGCUCUGUUUACAACAGGUUUUUUUGCUUACCUUUGAAGGUCUGGGUGAGCUGUUUGGACUGGGAAUAUCUGGGCUUUUACAGAUGGUUGGGGGUGAAGCAGAAUGACAGAUAACACUCCCCCUGGGUACACUGGAUCUCUCAGCAGGACCAGUGCAACUUCUCACUGAUGUAUUGAGUACAAAACCAUUUAAACACUGCUUCCUUAUACUGAAUAAUUCCUUUUUGCUUCGUUAACCCCUGUGAAUCACAGAAUCCCAGAAUGGUUUGGGUUAGAAAGGACCUUGUUCCAUCCCCUGCCAUGGGCAGGGACACCUUCUACUAUGCCAGGUUGCUCCAAGCCCUGUCCAGCCUGGCUUGGGACAGAGAACCAGAACAGUGAUUGUGUGAGGGAAUACACCAAAAAAUUCACUCUCAGCAGUGUCUUUCCAUGCCAUGCUUGGCUGUAUUUCCCUGGGAAAAUGACAGGAUGCAGGUUAUCCUCUAUGGGGACAACACCAGGCAGGAUGGUGGCUUCACACCACGUCUGAAGACUGGCUCCUCGACUCUCAGUACUGCACAAGAGCCAAAAUUUUUUGUGACGAUUAGGCUAUUAAUCCAACUAAGACAGAUGGCUACUGAGUUAGACAAUGACAUUUAAAAUUAACAAUGAGGCAGCUCAGCCCAGGCUCAGCAUCUGACCCUGGAAAACUUCUCCAUUCAAAAGCUACCACUUACCUAGACCCUGUUCUAACUUGCUAAAUCAGCAACUCAACCACAUUAGCUUCCCAGCACAGCUACCUGCAGAAAAGCCUUGUAUUGAGGAGUCUGCAGGACAGACUCAGCUUUUAUUGACAGACUUUUAUUGAUAUAAAAUAUCAGACCUACUGAUGGAAAAUGACAGUAUCAAAUUCUGAGUGCUCUGAUCUCAGUCAAAAUGGCUUCUGAGGUACAGGUCAGGACUGAGCUUCUUUCCAUCACGCUAAGGAAUGUUAAUUCACAAGAGUCUCCCAACACUUUAAAACUUAUUCAGUAACUAUCCUUUAAAUAAAUGAGUAAUCUCUUUAUAUAUCAGAUGGUAACUUUGGGCAGACUGUGUAUUUUUAUAGAGUACUCUUAUGGAAGGCUGCCCUAUCUUCUCACAGGAAAAUGACAAGUUUUCUUUCCAAAGCUUCAUUUCACAUAACGUCUCUGUCCCACUUGACACAUCUACAGUGGCACUCAGGGUGCCUCAUUUGUCUGUAAAAUCCCAGUAUAUUUUAAAACUUUUCCCACUGAGAAACAGAAGAAUGCCUCUCCCCUCUUUUCAUUAUCAUUUGCCGUGUCCCAGACCUGAGGGAUGUGCUGGGAAGAAAGAAUGUUUGGAUGUGCUGGCCUGUGUUUGGUGAGUGGCCUCUAGUGGAGUUUGGCAUUCUUUGGCUUUCAGAAGUGGUUAUUGGAACUUUUGCACAGUUUUGGAGCAUCUUUUGGAACUUUUGCUGCAUCUUGGAGCGCUGCAGGUAUCACAGCCAUACCCUUCCCCUCCUGCAGGCUGUUCUCUUCCCACUUGUCCAUGUGCUAUAGAAAAUGAGGUUUUUUACAAAAAUAAAGAGGCACAUUGCUAUGAAUGCUGAGUCACUGACUGCUCUGUGUGUUCCCACCUGUGGGUCUGAAGGACCAGCUCACAAAAAGGCUCAGGAGGUGCCACUAUUCCAAACCAACUGGGCAAGAAUACCCUCUACCAGUCUGUGUGAGUAUCACAAUUUGCCCCCACCCUUAUUCCCAUCAGACACUGGAAAUAAAUCGAGUAUUGAGUAAAUUCCUCACCUCCUCCACGCCCUGCCUGCGGGGGAGGACAGCCACCUGUUGUUGUGAAGGAGCAGAAAACACAUCCGAGCAUCACCCACCUGCUGGGUGGGGCUGUGAGGCCAGAGGGAGCCUCCUCUUACCCAAAAACCACCAGUGCUCCCAAAUCUCUCAGGGUUCUUAGCCUGGGAGCUGUCAGGAGUAGGGUGUGACUCCCCAAACCAUACAGCAUUAAUCACUGAGUAAUCUCACCCACAUGAUUUCCAUCCACAAG